RNAcentral lists this long non-coding RNA (1651 nucleotides) under Homo sapiens (human). RNAcentral describes it as "non-protein coding LINC01185:4". Lineage: Eukaryota; Metazoa; Chordata; Mammalia; Primates; Hominidae. The record is from RNAcentral.
GUCCCCGCGCACGCUCCCCGCCGGCCCCCACGCAUACGCCCCCGGCGCUGCUGCGGCGGCUGGCUUGGGAGGGGGUCGAGGGAGCGGGAGCUUGGGGUGGGCUUCGGGAGCGCAGGGAACGGCGGGAGCCGGGAGGUGACGGCUAGCAGCGUGAGAAGGCCGCUGGCUCCUGAGAAAUCCCCCUCCUCCAGGUUGUUCUUCCGAGUGUGGUUUAAAGUUCAGGAGCGGGCGGGAGGGUGCGGAUGACGUAGAGAGGGCCGGCCGCUGGGGAGCUUUUGGGGGCGCGCGGGGCCGACUCUCCCGGCCUGGGAGGGCGACGGCCGGGGUUUUCGAGAGGUGGUUCCCCCUCUUCCCGACUUCGCACAUGCAAAUCUCCACCCCCGCGCCAGCGGCGGGACGUUGCGCCCUGUAGGGGGAAGUGGUGCUGCGGCGGGGGUCCUGUCUUCUUCUGUAAUUCCUGUAUUUGCAUACGGGGACCCCCCCCCCGACUGAUUUUUUUUCCUCCAUCUAAAUUGCGAGGGUACUGUGAACUUUACGUAUUUUACCUACUGAAACCCGUUUAAACUCAAAAGGUCCGCACUUGGAGUUCGUUGUCUCAUUAGGCAGUGCACUGAAGUUUAGUGGACACUAUAUCCUGAGAUUUCACACAGAUGCCAAGAAAGGCGGAAAUGGAGCACACAUUUAGUGCAUUAAAGGACCUAGGAUAACUUCGUUUCCUUCAUUUGAAUAGUACCUGCUAUGCAUCAGAUAAUGUCCAUACUUAAUCUAUGACGUAUUUAUUAUUCCUAACUUUAUAGAUGAAGUAUUCGGGGUUCAGAGAAGUUACUUCAACAUACAGUACUUCAGAAUGCUGAUAAAAGGCACAGUUUAAAGCCAGGGUUGUCUGACUCCAAAGCUCCAUGCCCUUGCCCCUGUCCCUUACUAGUUAAAAUUAGUACGGAGAGGUAAUGGGGAAUAUCAGCCUGCCAUACAAGUGCCCAAAACUGGGGGACCCAUAUGGGCAAAUAAUUUAAAAUAUCCUGCCAACCCCAAACUGUUCUUUCCACGAAAUGCGCAAUGUACAACAAAAGAAUGAAACAGUUUUAUUAUUGGAUAUGUACUAAAACGUACCAUGAUGCACAUCACAGGCAAUCCACUGAAGAGAGUGCAAAGACCAAAAAAAAGGAAAUCUCACCUUUUCAUAUGGUCAGGCACGUACAAUCCAUUACAUACCUAUUAAUUGUCUUUAUCCAAAGGAAAAUAAUGGGAAGUUAUCUUGGAACCAAGAGCCAAGGCUUAAACCCUCCUAGAGACAGAAACAUGGAGCACCAUCCUUGAUGUUCACAUUUCCAAGAGAUGGCUCCGAGGCCCGCAAGAAAGACCUUCUGAGGACGCAAAACUAGCAAGAGGCUUAUUUAGCUUUUUAAAAUAUGUACAUACAUUUCAAAGAGACGGAAAACAUUUUCAGUUCUCUGAAGGAAUUUCAAAAUGAAAAGUGACUGGGGGAGAGGAAAGUUCUGAGGAGGUGACAUUUGAGCUGAGUCCUCAGUUUAAGAAAGAGCCGGCCAGGCGCAGUGGCUCAUGCCUGUAAUCCCAGCACUUUGGGAGGCUGAGGCAAGUGGAUCACGAGGUUGGGAGUUCAAGACCAGUCUGGCCAAGAUGGUGAAACCCC